Saccostrea echinata is the source of this 265-nucleotide long non-coding RNA. RefSeq lists it as uncharacterized. NCBI's taxonomy places the organism in Eukaryota, Metazoa, Mollusca, Bivalvia, Ostreida, Ostreidae. The record is from RefSeq and is a predicted model, not a curated record. The transcript has 3 exons.
CAUUGAUGAAGGACCAAGUGACAAGACUUAACUGUCUUCCAGGCAUUAAAGCAAAAUUCAGAGGUGAUGAAGAGGAAGAGGGUUUCAUUUCCAGUGGAGAGUUUGAUUAUUUGUUUGCUUCUCCUGAAAGUUUAGUUGGUGAUAAAUUCUUCAGAACAGUUCUUCAGAAUUUCAAAGUGUCAAAUAUUGUCAUUGAUGAAUUCCAUACAAUCUCAGCUUGGGGAGAUGAUGACAAUGGAAAAGAAGCCUUCCGAAGAUGGUUCCA